GGGUAGCUUGCCAGGCUGGCUGCUACAUCUGUCACCUCAUUGAUUGCCAGGGUUGAUUCGGCUGAUCUGGUUGGCUAGGCAGGUGUCCCCUUCCUCCCUCACCGCUCCAUGUGCGUCCCUCCCGAAGCUGCGCGCUUGGUCGAAGAGGACGGCCUUCCCCGAAUAGGCACAGACCGGUCUUUGGUUGAGGGUAUACGAGUAGCUGCGCUCCCCUGCUAGAACCUCCAAACUAAGCUUACUAUUAUAUGAAAAUGGAGUCUUAGUCUUGUUU
Molecule: small nuclear RNA, 271 nt
Filed under: Sorex araneus (European shrew)
Lineage: Eukaryota; Metazoa; Chordata; Mammalia; Eulipotyphla; Soricidae
Description: 7SK RNA (ENSSARG00000018299.1)
Rfam family: 7SK RNA
About the family: 7SK was discovered as an abundant small nuclear RNA in the mid-70s but a possible function has only recently been suggested. Two independent studies have found that 7SK RNA binds the CDK9/cyclin T complex (known as elongation factor P-TEFb). P-TEFb activates transcription by phosphorylating the C-terminal domain of RNA polymerase II.
Source: RNAcentral